GACGAACGCUGGCGGCGUGCUUAACACAUGCAAGUCGAACGGAAAGGCUCCACCUUGCUGGAGUGCUCGAGUGGCAAACGGGUGAGUAACACGUGGGCAAUCUGCCCUGCACUCUGGGAUAAGCCUGGGAAACUGGGUCUAAUACCGGAUAGGACCUUUCUCCUCAUGGGGUUUGGUGGAAAGUUUUUCGGUGCAGGAUGGGCCCGCGGCCUAUCAGCUUGUUGGUGGGGUAAUGGCCUACCAAGGCGACGACGGGUAGCCGGCCUGAGAGGGUGAUCGGCCACAUUGGGACUGAGAUACGGCCCAGACUCCUACGGGAGGCAGCAGUGGGGAAUAUUGCACAAUGGGCGCAAGCCUGAUGCAGCGACGCCGCGUGAGGGAUGAAGGCCUUCGGGUUGUAAACCGCUUUCAGUAGGGACGAAGCGCAAGUGACGGUACCUGCAGAAGAAGCACCGGCUAACUACGUG
This 467-nucleotide ribosomal RNA is filed under the name uncultured bacterium. RNAcentral describes it as "partial 16S ribosomal RNA". It matches the Rfam family "Bacterial small subunit ribosomal RNA", at positions 28 to 507 of the family's 1533-position model. The record is from RNAcentral.